GUGUUGGCUUUCUGACUUGCCCGGGGGAGGCGGGAGCGGGGCAGAUUGGGAAAUAUUUUCACUACGUCUGACAAUAAUUUCACCCAAUUAGACUCUCCGUCAACUGGUGCUUAAUCCACUGUGGCCGCUGGUUUUCAGAGAUACCCUGAGCCAUGAAUCACAACAUUCCAUAAUCUGCAUCGGAUUCAAGAGUUAAUACGACGGUACCAAAGAGGCAGGACUGAAAUUGUAGACACCAGUGUAUAGAAAUUUGAGAGAUGGAGCUCCGGAGUUAACACUCGACUCUCUCGAGCAAAACAAGACCUGUACUAUUUGUGAUGAAAUUGCAAGAAAACAUUUAUGUAGCAAUGCGGAGGAUAAAACAGGAGAAACAGGAAAAAAGUUUGCAAGGUAAACUCCAGGAAAGCUUCACAAAAUGGGUCCUACAGACAAGGCAAUUAGUGACAACCUGGUGAAGUUUAAGGAUUAACAGUGGUCCAUCAUCUAGUUUCUGUCGUGACCAGUGUUAAAAUUUUCUGCCUACCCACACCUUAAGUUUAGUGGGCUCAUUUACCAUCAUCAAACAUAGGUGAAAUACCAUCCUACAGACUGCAUAUAAGCCUAAAAUUUCAUUUGAAGACUUUGUAAUUUAAGGGUAUUUCCAUGUCUCCUUAGGAAGCAACAAUACUAUUUUUAUACAUCUAAAUUAAAUCUGUUUUUAAAUAUUAGUUUACAGUGGAUUUAUAAUUUAUGCUCUGGUAAUAUUUUUAUAAUUUAAAAAAUGCUGAAUUUUUGUAAAUACUUCUCUUUUUUUGCUUAACUUCAAUUAACUUUAAUAUUUGAAAAGGUGCUACUGUAUUGUCCUGCAAGCCAUCCCACAUAUCAGAAGCAUCCUCAUCUGUCAUAUAUAAAUACACAAGUGAAAAUACCAAGCACUAAUUUAUCUCAUACACUUUUACCUCAGUGUUGAUUAUCACAGACAAAACAGCAAAUAAAUAUACCAAUAUUAAUAUACAAAUGAAUUUGCACGUAAAACCUGACUGCAUGAAUAGUUUUACAAAAUGUAACUUGUUUAUCAACAGUAUGGAACACAGGUUAUUUGAAAGCAAUAGAGCAGCUGCUAAAAAAAAAAAAAAAGCCUUGAAACCAUAUGACAGGAGUAGAAAAA
This is a non-coding RNA of Cherax quadricarinatus, 1147 nucleotides long. The record is from RefSeq and is a predicted model, not a curated record. NCBI's taxonomy places the organism in Eukaryota, Metazoa, Arthropoda, Malacostraca, Decapoda, Parastacidae.